CCUACGGGAGGCAGCAGUAGGGAAUUUUCGUCAAUGGGCGCAAGCCUGAACGAGCAAUGCCGCGUGAACGAGGAAGGUCUUCGGAUCGUAAAGUUCUGUUGAAGGGGAAAAAGAGCGGAGAGAGGAAAUGCUUUCUGAUUGAUAUUACCCUUCGAGGAAGUCACGGCUAACUACGUGCGAGCAGCCGCGGUAAUACGUAGGUGGCGAGCGUUAUCCGGAAUGAUUGGGCGUAAAGGGUGCGUAGGCGGCCUGCUAAGUCUGGAGUGAAAGGUACCGGCUCAACCGGUACAGGCUCUGGAAACUGGCGGGCUAGAGAGCAGGAGAGGGCGGUGGAACUCCAUGUGUAGCGGUAAAAUGCGUAGAUAUCGCGCAGAACCCCGAUUGCGAAGGCAGCGUGCCGUGCCGCCACUGACGCUGAGGCACGAAAGCGCGGGGAUCGAACAGGAUUAGAUACCCUUGUAGUC
RNAcentral lists this ribosomal RNA (464 nucleotides) under uncultured bacterium. RNAcentral describes it as "partial 16S ribosomal RNA". It matches the Rfam family "Bacterial small subunit ribosomal RNA", at positions 338 to 795 of the family's 1533-position model. The record is from RNAcentral.